This 1147-nucleotide ribosomal RNA is filed under the name Niallia circulans. RNAcentral describes it as "bacterial SSU rRNA". It matches the Rfam family "Bacterial small subunit ribosomal RNA", at positions 34 to 1211 of the family's 1533-position model. Lineage: Bacteria; Bacillati; Bacillota; Bacilli; Caryophanales; Bacillaceae. The record is from RNAcentral.
GGCUGGCGGCGUGCUAUACAUGCAGUCGAGCGGACUUUAAAAGCUUGCUUUUAAAGUUAGCGGCGGACGGGUGAGUAACACGUGGGCAACCUGCCUGUAAGACUGGGAUAACUUCGGGAAACCGGAGCUAAUACCGGAUAAUCCUUUUCCUCUCAUGAGGAAAAGCUGAAAGACGGCAUCUCGCUGUCACUUACAGAUGGGCCCGCGGCGCAUUAGUUAGUUGGGGAGGUAACGGCUCACCAAGGCAACGAUGCGUACCCGACCUGAAAGGGGGAUCGGCCACACUGGGACUGAAACCCGGCCCAAACUCCUACGGGAGGCAGCAGAAGGGAAUCUUCCGCAAUGGACGAAAGUCUGACGGAGCAACGCCGCGGGAGUGAUGAAGGUUUUCGGAUCGUAAAGCUCUGUUGUUAGGGAAAAACAAGUACAAAAGUAACUGCUUGUACCUUGACGGAACCUAACCAAAAAGCCACGGUUAACUACGUGCCACCAGCCGCGGUAAUACGUAGGUGGCAAGCGUUGUCCGGAAUUAUUGGGCGUAAAGCGCGCGCAGGCGGUCCUUUAAGUCUGAUGUGAAAGCCCACGGCUCAACCGUGGAGGGUCAUUGGAAACUGGGGGACUUGAGUGCAAAAAAGAAGAGUGGAAUUCCACGUGUACCGGUGAAAUGCGUAGAGAUGUGGAGAAACACCAGUGGCGAAGGCGACUCUUUGGUCUGUAACUGACGCUGAGGCGCGAAAGCGUGGGGAGCAAACAGGAUUAGAUACCCUGGUAGUCCACGCCGUAAACGAUGAGUGCUAAGUGUUAGAGGGUUUCCUGCCCUUUAGUGCUGCAGCAAACGCAUUAAGCACUCCGCCUGGGGAGUACGGCCGCAAGCUGAAACUCAAUGAAUUGACGGGGGCCCCGCACAGCGUGGAGCAUGUGAUUUAAUUCGAAGCAACGCGACGACCUACCAGUCUGACAUCCUCUGACACUCCUAAAAAUAGACGUCCCCUCGGGGACGAGUGACAGUGGUGCAUGCUGUCGUCAGCUCUGUCAUGAAUGGUAGUUAGUCCGCAACGACGCAACAUGAUCUACUUGCACAUAGUGGCACUUAAGUACUGCCGGUACGACGCAGAGUGAUGCUUCACUACAUGCCAUUACUGACUUG